This 23-nucleotide transfer RNA is filed under the name Iguana insularis sanctaluciae. RNAcentral's name for it is "partial tRNA-Ser". Lineage: Eukaryota; Metazoa; Chordata; Lepidosauria; Squamata; Iguanidae. The record is from RNAcentral.
GAGAGGUGUUUAGAACACUAAGA